GCAUAUCAAUAAGCGGAGGAAAAGAAACUAACAAGGAUUCCCCUAGUAACGGCGAGUGAAGCGGGAAGAGCUCAAAUUUGAAAGCUGUUGCCUUUGGUAACCGCAUUGUAAUCUCGAGAUCUGUUUUCCGCGCUGGACCAUGUACAAGUCCCUUGGAAUAGGGCGUCAUAGAGGGUGAGAAUCCCGUACUUGACAUGGCCUCCCAGUGCUUUGUGAUACAGGCUCAACGAGUCGAGUUGUUUGGGAAUGCAGCUCAAAAUGGGUGGUAAAUUCCAUCUAAAGCUAAAUAUUGGGGAGAGACCGAUAGCGAACAAGUACCCGUGAGGGAAAGAUGAAAAGCACUUUGGAAAGAGAGUUUAACAGUACGUGAAAUUGUCAAAAGGGAACCGUUUGAAGUUAGUCAUGCUUGCCUGGACUCAGCCUUGCUUUUGCUUGGUGCAUUUCCAGGUUAGCAGGUCAGCAUCGGUUUUGACUGCUGGAUAAGGGUGAGAGGAAUGUGGCACCCUCGGGUGUGUUAUAGCCUUUCACUGGAUGCAGCAGUCGGGACCGAGGAACGCAGCGCGCCUUUAUGGCGGACCUUGGGGUACCUUCCCGCUUAGGAUGCUGGCAUAAUAGCUUCAAGCGACCCGUCUUGAAACACGGACCAAGGAGUCUAACAUGUCUGCGAGUCUUUGGGUGGCAAACC
RNAcentral lists this ribosomal RNA (685 nucleotides) under Entyloma ficariae. Its description in RNAcentral is "LSU rRNA". It matches the Rfam family "Eukaryotic large subunit ribosomal RNA", at positions 38 to 708 of the family's 3401-position model. The record is from RNAcentral. Lineage: Eukaryota; Fungi; Basidiomycota; Exobasidiomycetes; Entylomatales; Entylomataceae.